GCAUAUGCCGGACAAAUCCCGUAUUUAAGGGAAUGUAUUGAUACUGAACCGAUCCAAACUGAUGAUUGUAAAAGCAUUUAUUGUCAAGAUGUGCACAUCCUAACAACCCAAUCCAUCCGUCCUUGGUGUCAGCUUCAAGCUGAAAUCCUACAUCCGCAGGUGGCUUCAGUUAUGUCAGCCGAUCAGAGGCAGUGUAGGAUGGACCUGUAACGAAGGGGGUUCUUGUACUUUUCUCCAUUAGCAGCGCAUGACUUCUGGCCUUGUUGGAAAAGUAGGCUUUCAUCUUCCAUUUUGCAGAUGGCUGAUCAGUUAGAGGACAUUUUCUGAGCUGAAUGUUAUGUUCUGCAUGUUCAGCUCAGUUUAGGGAUUUACCAGUUUAUUUUAGUAAGAGGCCAGG
RNAcentral lists this unclassified non-coding RNA (397 nucleotides) under Hevea brasiliensis (rubber tree). Lineage: Eukaryota; Viridiplantae; Streptophyta; Magnoliopsida; Malpighiales; Euphorbiaceae. The record is from RNAcentral.